Molecule: ribosomal RNA, 404 nt
Filed under: Fusobacteriota bacterium
Lineage: Bacteria; Fusobacteriati; Fusobacteriota
Description: Fusobacteria bacterium partial 16S ribosomal RNA
Rfam family: Bacterial small subunit ribosomal RNA
Source: RNAcentral
UGGGGAAUAUUGCACAAUGGAGGGAACUCUGAUGCAGCGACUCCGCGUGAGUGAUGAAGGAAUUCGUUUCGUAAAACUCUGUUCUCUGGGAAGAAAAGGACUGUACCAUAGGAGAAAGCUCCGGCUAAAUACGUGCCAGCAGCCGCGGUAAUACGUAUGGAGCGAGCGUUGUCCGGAAUUAUUGGGCGUAAAGGGUGCGCAGGCGGCUUUACAAGUUGGAUGUGAAAUAUUGUGGCUCAACCACAAACGUGCAUCCAAAACUGCAAAGCUUGAGUUAAGGAGAGGUAAGGGGAAUUCCUGGUGUAGCGGUGAAAUGCGUAGAUAUCAGGAGGAAUACCGGUGGCGAAGGCGACUUACUGGACUUAAACUGACGCUCAGGCACGAAAGCGUGGGGAGCAAACAGG